UAGAACUAGAUAGGUUAGAAUAAUAACAGUUAACGUUGCAACGUGCUUUGAACGAGUUAAAUGUUUUUGCUUGUGUUUUAAAUUGUAUUGGUAUACUAAUAUAUUUACCUGGAAUAUAUAAAAUGAUUCAUUUAACCUCAAAUUUUUCUUUGGAUAUUUUAUACUAAUUCUUGUAUAUUCUGCAUUAUCUAUAGAUUUUUGUUUAAAUUUUCUAUAAAUAAAUAAAUAUCUGGUGAUGAUGAUUUAAUUUUCUUUAUCAAUAUGUAUCAUUGUGAUAAUGAAUGAUUAAUUGAAAUAUAAUGAAGUUAAGUAUUUAUCAUAAACCUAUCGAUAACCUAUAAAAUACUAAUCGCAUUAAAUGUAUUAAAUGAAAAAGAAAAAAAAUUCGAAAAAAUAAAAGAAAUAUCCUUCGUGGUUUAUUUUACAAGAAUCAUUUAAAAUUUCAGUUUUAAUUUCAAUUUCAAUUUUAACCAGAUUUCACGACACGUUGUUCUACAACGAGUGACGUUAAUUGCCGCGCAGCUGGCAACCAUUUUCGGUCCAGUUAAUAAAAUCCAGAGAAACUGUUUAACGGUACAAUGCCACGUUUCUCGGUGGAGGGAGCUUAUCAGCGGUUUCCCGUAGGCGUUUUAAUCAGUCCAUCUGAAUGAAACCACUUCAGAGUUUUCGAAACGGUGGCUCUCUUGGACGGAGAGUGGGGAGUGGACACAGGUUUCAACAGGAACGUGGAAGAAACGUUUUUAGUCGACGAACAUAUUGACUUAGGACUAAAUUGGUCAAUCUAAACAACAGGAUGUGAAAGUUACUGGGAAACUAAUUUGCGCAUCUCAACUUCCUUUGUGAACCACAACGUUUCAGACCUUUAUAGGUUAUGUUCCACACUGAAUAUGACGUAUUAAAAAGUUAGAUGAUGAAAUCAAGCUUGCUUUUUACACUAUUGGAAUUAUAUCGUUCUUUCUUUUUGACCUUUUUCAAAAAUUCAUAAAUAUCACUUGACAAUCCCACACCACUUAAAUACAAUUUCCCUCGUAAAUUGUAUCGCAAUGGACGCCACAUUUCGCUCGAAUGGGGAUCACGUGUACAGAAACAAAUAAAAACGUUUGGAAAGGAAUAGCUACGUUUACAUUAUUCGAAACAGUAGCGUCGUUAUAGGAUGCUCGAUAAAGGACUAUCCUUUCCACCGUGGGCCGGCCAAAUGUUCCGAUAAAGGCCGCCAUCAAAGCAUCAACUCGUGCGAUCUUGCACCGCUGUUAUAGGAAUGAUAAUCGAAAGGACGAGUUAUCAGUGACGCCUGUGCCAUCGACCAAAGAUACGUUCCACCAUUUUCGAUUGGCUGAAAUUCAACCCCCUGUGUAUCUGCGAAUUUUCUUUCGUCCAUUUGUUUUAUGCCCCCGAGAUAUCUAACGUUUCUCAUCAAUUGGUGACGAUAACACGAUGAUAGCAGGAUUAGUUAGUAUCGAAAAUAUAAGUGGAAGAAACUAGCGAUUUUUUAUGCAAAUCGAUCGAGGAGGAAAAUCGAUCGAUAAGAGGAGUAUGAAUGUAAGACGCGAGUAAUCCGUUAUAUAGAGGAUUGGGAGGAUUUCGAGGACUCGACGAUCUGAGAAAUUGAAGGAUCUCGAUUCGAUUGCCGAUCAUCGCAUGGAGCGAGCAUGACGGAAUACCUUUUAUCCUAGACUUAACUUUACAUUUACGAAGUCUGUCGUUGACAAAGUAUAAUUCUUCUAUGGAAAGACUGCAUUUGGAAUAAAUGUAUUCCACUCGUAAAUGAAAAUUAAAGAUCAUCGAUCCGUUUCAUCUCGCAUUUUUACAAAUAAUAAGAAACAUUUUUGUAUUCAGAUAUAUAAAAAAACAAACGUUUAAUCAUU
This is a long non-coding RNA of Apis mellifera (honey bee), 1865 nucleotides long. RefSeq lists it as uncharacterized. NCBI's taxonomy places the organism in Eukaryota, Metazoa, Arthropoda, Insecta, Hymenoptera, Apidae. The record is from RefSeq and is a predicted model, not a curated record. The transcript has 4 exons.